RNAcentral lists this ribosomal RNA (2930 nucleotides) under Escherichia coli. RNAcentral describes it as "23S ribosomal RNA". It matches the Rfam family "Bacterial large subunit ribosomal RNA". Lineage: Bacteria; Pseudomonadati; Pseudomonadota; Gammaproteobacteria; Enterobacterales; Enterobacteriaceae. The record is from RNAcentral.
GGGUUGUGAGGUUAAGCGACUAAGCGUACACGGUGGAUGCCCUGGCAGUCAGAGGCGAUGAAGGACGUGCUAAUCUGCGAUAAGCGUCGGUAAGGUGAUAUGAACCGUUAUAACCGGCGAUUUCCGAAUGGGGAAACCCAGUGUGUUUCGACACACUAUCAUUAACUGAAUCCAUAGGUUAAUGAGGCGAACCGGGGGAACUGAAACAUCUAAGUACCCCGAGGAAAAGAAAUCAACCGAGAUUCCCCCAGUAGCGGCGAGCGAACGGGGAGCAGCCCAGAGCCUGAAUCAGUGUGUGUGUUAGUGGAAGCGUCUGGAAAGGCGUGCGAUACAGGGUGACAGCCCCGUACACAAAAAUGCACAUGCUGUGAGCUCGAUGAGUAGGGCGGGACACGUGGUAUCCUGUCUGAAUAUGGGGGGACCAUCCUCCAAGGCUAAAUACUCCUGACUGACCGAUAGUGAACCAGUACCGUGAGGGAAAGGCGAAAAGAACCCCGGCGAGGGGAGUGAAAAAGAACCUGAAACCGUGUACGUACAAGCAGUGGGAGCACGCUUAGGCGUGUGACUGCGUACCUUUUGUAUAAUGGGUCAGCGACUUAUAUUCUGUAGCAAGGUUAACCGAAUAGGGGAGCCGAAGGGAAACCGAGUCUUAACUGGGCGUUAAGUUGCAGGGUAUAGACCCGAAACCCGGUGAUCUAGCCAUGGGCAGGUUGAAGGUUGGGUAACACUAACUGGAGGACCGAACCGACUAAUGUUGAAAAAUUAGCGGAUGACUUGUGGCUGGGGGUGAAAGGCCAAUCAAACCGGGAGAUAGCUGGUUCUCCCCGAAAGCUAUUUAGGUAGCGCCUCGUGAAUUCAUCUCCGGGGGUAGAGCACUGUUUCGGCAAGGGGGUCAUCCCGACUUACCAACCCGAUGCAAACUGCGAAUACCGGAGAAUGUUAUCACGGGAGACACACGGCGGGUGCUAACGUCCGUCGUGAAGAGGGAAACAACCCAGACCGCCAGCUAAGGUCCCAAAGUCAUGGUUAAGUGGGAAACGAUGUGGGAAGGCCCAGACAGCCAGGAUGUUGGCUUAGAAGCAGCCAUCAUUUAAAGAAAGCGUAAUAGCUCACUGGUCGAGUCGGCCUGCGCGGAAGAUGUAACGGGGCUAAACCAUGCACCGAAGCUGCGGCAGCGACACUAUGUGUUGUUGGGUAGGGGAGCGUUCUGUAAGCCUGUGAAGGUGUGCUGUGAGGUAUGCUGGAGGUAUCAGAAGUGCGAAUGCUGACAUAAGUAACGAUAAAGCGGGUGAAAAGCCCGCUCGCCGGAAGACCAAGGGUUCCUGUCCAACGUUAAUCGGGGCAGGGUGAGUCGACCCCUAAGGCGAGGCCGAAAGGCGUAGUCGAUGGGAAACAGGUUAAUAUUCCUGUACUUGGUGUUACUGCGAAGGGGGGACGGAGAAGGCUAUGUUGGCCGGGCGACGGUUGUCCCGGUUUAAGCGUGUAGGCUGGUUUUCCAGGCAAAUCCGGAAAAUCAAGGCUGAGGCGUGAUGACGAGGCACUACGGUGCUGAAGCAACAAAUGCCCUGCUUCCAGGAAAAGCCUCUAAGCAUCAGGUAACAUCAAAUCGUACCCCAAACCGACACAGGUGGUCAGGUAGAGAAUACCAAGGCGCUUGAGAGAACUCGGGUGAAGGAACUAGGCAAAAUGGUGCCGUAACUUCGGGAGAAGGCACGCUGAUAUGUAGGUGAAGUCCCUCGCGGAUGGAGCUGAAAUCAGUCGAAGAUACCAGCUGGCUGCAACUGUUUAUUAAAAACACAGCACUGUGCAAACACGAAAGUGGACGUAUACGGUGUGACGCCUGCCCGGUGCCGGAAGGUUAAUUGAUGGGGUUAGCGCAAGCGAAGCUCUUGAUCGAAGCCCCGGUAAACGGCGGCCGUAACUAUAACGGUCCUAAGGUAGCGAAAUUCCUUGUCGGGUAAGUUCCGACCUGCACGAAUGGCGUAAUGAUGGCCAGGCUGUCUCCACCCGAGACUCAGUGAAAUUGAACUCGCUGUGAAGAUGCAGUGUACCCGCGGCAAGACGGAAAGACCCCGUGAACCUUUACUAUAGCUUGACACUGAACAUUGAGCCUUGAUGUGUAGGAUAGGUGGGAGGCUUAGAAGUGUGGACGCCAGUCUGCAUGGAGCCGACCUUGAAAUACCACCCUUUAAUGUUUGAUGUUCUAACGUUGACCCGUAAUCCGGGUUGCGGACAGUGUCUGGUGGGUAGUUUGACUGGGGCGGUCUCCUCCUAAAGAGUAACGGAGGAGCACGAAGGUUGGCUAAUCCUGGUCGGACAUCAGGAGGUUAGUGCAAUGGCAUAAGCCAGCUUGACUGCGAGCGUGACGGCGCGAGCAGGUGCGAAAGCAGGUCAUAGUGAUCCGGUGGUUCUGAAUGGAAGGGCCAUCGCUCAACGGAUAAAAGGUACUCCGGGGAUAACAGGCUGAUACCGCCCAAGAGUUCAUAUCGACGGCGGUGUUUGGCACCUCGAUGUCGGCUCAUCACAUCCUGGGGCUGAAGUAGGUCCCAAGGGUAUGGCUGUUCGCCAUUUAAAGUGGUACGCGAGCUGGGUUUAGAACGUCGUGAGACAGUUCGGUCCCUAUCUGCCGUGGGCGCUGGAGAACUGAGGGGGGCUGCUCCUAGUACGAGAGGACCGGAGUGGACGCAUCACUGGUGUUCGGGUUGUCAUGCCAAUGGCACUGCCCGGUAGCUAAAUGCGGAAGAGAUAAGUGCUGAAAGCAUCUAAGCACGAAACUUGCCCCGAGAUGAGUUCUCCCUGACUCCUUGAGAGUCCUGAAGGAACGUUGAAGACGACGACGUUGAUAGGCCGGGUGUGUAAGCGCAGCGAUGCGUUGAGCUAACCGGUACUAAUGAACCGUGAGGCUUAACCUUACAACGCCGAAGGUGUUU